RNAcentral lists this ribosomal RNA (215 nucleotides) under uncultured Leptolinea sp. Its description in RNAcentral is "partial 16S ribosomal RNA". It matches the Rfam family "Bacterial small subunit ribosomal RNA", at positions 1169 to 1382 of the family's 1533-position model. The record is from RNAcentral. Lineage: Bacteria; Bacillati; Chloroflexota; Anaerolineae; Anaerolineales; Anaerolineaceae.
GGAAGUGGGGAUGAUGUCAAGUCAGCAUGGCCUUUAUAUCCCUGGGCUACACACACGCUACAAUGGCCAACACAAUAGGUUGCUAAGCCGCGAGGUGGCGCCAAUCCAUAAAGUUGGUCUCAGUUCAGAUUGUAGGCUGCAACCCGCCUGCAUGAAGAUGGAGUUGCUAGUAACCGCAGGUCAGCUAUACUGCGGUGAAUACGUUCCCGGGGCUU